This 253-nucleotide ribosomal RNA is filed under the name uncultured bacterium. RNAcentral describes it as "partial 16S ribosomal RNA". It matches the Rfam family "Bacterial small subunit ribosomal RNA", at positions 524 to 776 of the family's 1533-position model. The record is from RNAcentral.
UACGGAGGGUGCAAGCGUUAUCCGGAUUCACUGGGUUUAAAGGGUGCGUAGGCGGGCAGGUAAGUCAGUGGUGAAAUCUCCGGGCUUAACCCGGAAACUGCCGUUGAUACUAUCUGUCUUGAAUAUCGCGGAGGUAAGCGGAAUAUGUCAUGUAGCGGUGAAAUGCUUAGAUAUGACAUAGAACACCAAUUGCGAAGGCAGCUUACUACCCGAAUAUUGACACUGAGGCACGAAAGCGUGGGGAUCAAACAGG